UUCCAGUUCACCGUCUUCUCCUCCUCAUCUCACAGCUUCAGAAUUGAGAGAGAAACGUUACCAAUACAGAUGCCGUAGAUACAAAGAAGCCCGGGUCAAGAUCCGUGCGUCGACGGCGAAUUGAGGUCGCAAUUGCAGGAAACCGCUGGAGCAUCAAGAAGAGUCUACAAAAGAUGACAUGGAAGCAUCAACGAAACCAGCAAAGCUACGGAAUCACAAUGCACAAGAACACCAAUAUUAACAGAGUUACGAUGUGAUAGUGAAACAUGUCACAUCCAAAGGUAUUCAUAUUUGGACAUUCUCUGGGGUUUCAUAAAGACACUAACUGAUCAUUUUGAAAAAAAUCACCACAAACUUAGUACGAUAGCGAAAAGUCCCAUCGCUGAAUUUAUUGACAGGUGGAUGUUUUCA
Rhodamnia argentea is the source of this 411-nucleotide long non-coding RNA. RefSeq lists it as uncharacterized. Lineage: Eukaryota; Viridiplantae; Streptophyta; Magnoliopsida; Myrtales; Myrtaceae. The transcript has 2 exons. The record is from RefSeq and is a predicted model, not a curated record.